UACACUUAUUCCUCGCUGCCGCUUGUAAUAAUCCCUCCGAAGCUGAGGAUGAAAUUGGUUUCUCCGUGAUCUCUCUUUCCACCCUGGGUGAUCCCCAUAGGAUUCUUCACAAGGACGCAAAUCUUUGUCGGGGUUCAUUGGUGGCUGUGGUUUUCCUGCCCAGCCCACUACCACUGGGCCGUAGAUGAGAUGGAUAUCUUGUCCAGCCCGCUGCCACUGGACCAUUUCUGCAGGUAAGGGGGUCAAACCCACAGCCACUGGACCCUCUUCUCUGUAGCAGUUGCAUCUGUUACACAGUAAAGGAGUCCUAGAGAAGUGCUGCCAAGGGGAACUCAUAAAAAAGCCGCUGCUGGAGACUCAGAUGUGCCCUGCUGAGCGAGGCAGUCUCCUCCUACUUACCGUGCUGCAGUGAGCCGCAGUCACCCGCGGGGGAGUUGAAGAAUAAGUUGAAUAUGGUUGAACACGGUGGCAUCAUACUGCUCAGCCAUCUCUGGGGUUAACUGCAGAUGAGAUAAUUCCUGUAUAACUCCUGGAUCCUCUAGGGCAUUCUGCCACUGUAUCCACACUUCAUGGUACAAGGGCGAAUGGACAGAUCUCCAGCUUCCAAGUGAAACGUGAAGGCGACUCGACAAGGAUUUCUGUUAGGACAAUAGUUUUGCUUCAUGAAGACCAGGAAGGCUUGAACUCAGGACAAUGGGUAUCUUGAAUUUACUCAGUUCCCAUCUCUUAAGUUAUUAAACAUUAUUUCCCACCUGUCUUGUGUAUUUUUGCUUGAUCCCUAUAAUAUGGGGGCAGGCAUAAUUUUGUAUAACCCCUGUAAGACGUGUGCCAGGUACAAUUGGCCCUAUUUCCUAUGUGGGGAAACUGAGACUCAGAGCAGAGAAGCGACUCUCCUAAGUCACACGUUGUAUUGCUGGCAGAGUCUCGGGCAGGAGUCGUGCCUCCUGAUUUCCAGGUACAUGCUGCUUUUGCUAGAACCAAUCUAUUAAAGAACCAAGACUCUUUUAUUUGGAAUUAAUGAGGGAUUCCAAAAAUAGUGUUAGCAGUGCUUAACAAAUUUGAAAGAGCAAAGGAACUGAAGCCAGAGAAGACUGAGAUAGGGGAGCUGUUUCAUUGUAUCAAUUUCUAUUCACUUUGUUAAUAAUUGAUGCCACAUUUACUCAUUGUUAUAUAUUAAAAAUACUUGAUUUGCUACAAGGUAAAAAUGACCCAUUGACUUUGUCUCUCAACCUACGCUAACCCUAAAUGAGAAUCUCAUUGUGACCACGAUUUUGCAAAAUUGAUUAAAUGGAAAUAAAUGCAUUCAAGUGUCAAAGGCUGCAUUGGGAAUGGUUGCUAAUGAGCUUGACCUUUCAGAGCUUCCUGGCUGGGUGCACAGUAGGUGUUCAAUGAGUACUGAUGGAUGUCUUGACUGACUGAGAUUUCGGUUAGCCUUCCAUCCCCGGGAGCAUGGUGCCUCUAAUGUGUUAGAUGGCAUCAUGUUCCAAAAAUGAAUCGAUCUAUAAAUUUGAAGACUAAUUUGGAAACAUUUUAACCUUACUAAACAGAAUAGUAUGAUAAAACCUAGGUACCCUACGCCAGCUUCAAAUCAAUAUUCUGCUGUUUUUGUUUACUUCCCUUAACACACAUCACUGCCUCCCCACCCCCAACACACACACACUUUUUUGUUUUUGAGACAGAGUCUCGCUCUGUCACCGAGGCUGGGGUGUAGUGGCGCCAUCUCGGCUCACUGCAAGCUCCGCCUCCUGGGUUCAUGCCAUUCUCCUGUCUCGGCCUCCCAGUCUCCAGAGUAGCUGGGACUUCAGGUGUCCACUUUUUUUUUUUUUUUUUGGCUGAAGUACCAUAAAGGAAAUUUCAAACAUUGUGUCAUUCACCUGUGAAUAAAUCUGUAUGUACCUCCAAUAGAUAGACUAAAAAAACCACAACCUUAUCACCACAACACAAUUAGCCAUUGUUUCUUAAUAUCAUAGGAGGCCUCUUCCAUGCUGAAUGCUCCAU
RNAcentral lists this long non-coding RNA (1998 nucleotides) under Homo sapiens (human). RNAcentral's name for it is "HSALNT0223966". The record is from RNAcentral. Lineage: Eukaryota; Metazoa; Chordata; Mammalia; Primates; Hominidae.